GGAGUUAGCCGGUGCUUCUUCUGUGAGUGAUGUCCUUCCUGCCGGCUAUUAACCCGCAGGCCUUCUUCCUCACUGAAAGUGCUUUACAACCCGAAGGCCUUCUUCACACACGCGGCAUGGCUGGAUCAGGGUUGCCCCCAUUGUCCAAUAUUCCCCACUGCUGCCUCCCGUAGGAGUCUGGGCCGUGUCUCAGUCCCAGUGUGGCUGAUCAUCCUCUCAGACCAGCUACGGAUCGUCGCCUUGGUGAGCCGUUACCUCACCAACCAGCUAAUCCGACAUAGGCUCAUCCGAUAGCGCGAGGCCCGAAGGUCCCCCGNUUUCCCCCGUAGGGCGUAUGCGGUAUUAGCCUGGGUUUCCCCAGGUUAUCCCCCACUACCGGGCAGAUUCCUAUGCAUUACUCACCCGUCCGCCGCUCGCCACCAGGGAGCAAGCUCCCCGUGCUGCCGCUCGACUUGCAUGUGUUAGGCCUGCCGCCAGCGUUCAAUCUGAGCCAUGAUCAAACUCUGA
Molecule: ribosomal RNA, 507 nt
Filed under: uncultured bacterium
Lineage: Bacteria
Description: partial 16S ribosomal RNA
Source: RNAcentral